Oryza sativa Indica Group (long-grained rice) is the source of this 204-nucleotide microRNA precursor. It matches the Rfam family "MIR812 microRNA precursor family". NCBI's taxonomy places the organism in Eukaryota, Viridiplantae, Streptophyta, Magnoliopsida, Poales, Poaceae. The record is from Rfam.
AAAAAGAAAAACCCUGGUUUCCGUGCCCAACAUUUGACCGUUCGUCUUAUUUGAAAAAAAUAUAAAAAAAUUAAAAAAAUAAGUCACGCAUAAAAUAUUAAUCAUGUUUUAUCAUCUAACAACAAUGAAAAUACGAAUUAUAAAAAAAUUUCAUAUAAGACGGAUAGUUAAAGUUGGACACGGAAACCCAGGGUUUGCCUUUUU